Molecule: transfer RNA, 69 nt
Filed under: Marmota monax (woodchuck)
Lineage: Eukaryota; Metazoa; Chordata; Mammalia; Rodentia; Sciuridae
Description: tRNA.Ala
Source: RNAcentral
GGGAUGUGGCUCAAGCAGUAGUGCGCUCACCUGGCAUGCGCGAGGUGCUGGGUUCGAUCCUCAGCCCCA